Molecule: ribosomal RNA, 253 nt
Filed under: uncultured bacterium
Lineage: Bacteria
Description: partial 16S ribosomal RNA
Rfam family: Bacterial small subunit ribosomal RNA
Source: RNAcentral
UACAGAGGUCUCAAGCGUUGUUCGGAUUCAUUGGGCGUAAAGGGUGCGUAGGUGGCGCUGUAAGUCGGGUGUGAAAUUUCGGAGCUUAACUCCGAAACUGCAUUCGAUACUGCGGUGCUUGAGGACUGGAGAGGAGACUGGAAUUCAUGGUGUAGCAGCGAAAUGCGUAGAGAUCAUGAGGAAGACCAGUGGCGAAGGCGGGUCUCUGGACAGUUCCUGACACUGAGGCACGAAGGCCAGGGGAGCAAACGGG